GUGAAAUUUAUAUAAGGAAAUAAAAUUACCUCGAGUUAUUAAGAGGAAUUAAAAAAUGGAGGUAAAAAACCAGGAUUAGAUACCCUGUUAUUCUUCACUACAUUUAAUGGGUAGUAAAAGUUAUCCUUCAAACCCAAAGAUUUUGGCGGCAUUUUAACCAAACAGAGGAGCUUGUCUUAUAAUCGAUAAUCCUCGCUGUAUCUUACCUUUAUUUGUUUAGCUUGUAUACCUCCGUUGUCAGAUUACUCUAAAAGGAUGUUUUCUAAAAAAAUAAUUUUUUUACUUCAGGUCAAGGUGCAGUUUAUAUAAAGGUUUUGAUGAGCUACAAUUUUUUAAAAAAUACGGAUAUUAGGUUGAAAUCUAAUUGAAGGUGGAUUUGUUAGUAAGUUUUUUUAGAGAAAUUAACUGAAUAUGGCAAUAAGAUGUGUACAUAUCGCCCGUCACUCUCCUUCUAAGNGGAGAUAA
This 465-nucleotide ribosomal RNA is filed under the name Daphnia spinulata. RNAcentral's name for it is "partial small subunit ribosomal RNA". The stretch from base 109 to 465 matches the Rfam family "Microsporidia small subunit ribosomal RNA", at positions 752 to 1267 of the family's 1311-position model. Lineage: Eukaryota; Metazoa; Arthropoda; Branchiopoda; Diplostraca; Daphniidae. The record is from RNAcentral.